CUGCGUCCUCAGCCAUGAGGGGGCGCGGCGCACGGCUCAGUAACAUGUGGUUAACCUACCCUCAGGACGGGGAUACCCUCGGGAAACUGAGGCUAAUCCCCGAUAGAUGAGGGAUCCUGGAAUGGUUCCUCAUCCAAAAGGCACGCAUAUCAUGCUAUGCGUGUCGCCUGAGGAUGGGACCGCAUCCUAUCAGGUAGUUGGUGGGGUAACGGCCCACCAAGCCUAUAACGGGUACGGGCCCUGAGAGGGGGAGCCCGGAGAUGGGCACUGAGACAAGGGCCCAGGCCCUACGGGGCGCAGCAGGCGCGAAACCUCUGCAAUGCGCGAAAGCGCGACAGGGCCACCCCGAGUGCUAGCCGCUGAGGUUAGCUUUUCCUUAGUGUAGUAAGCUAAGGGAAUAAGCGGGGGGCAAGCCUGGUGUCAGCCGCCGCGGUAAUACCAGCUCCGCGAGUGGUCGGGACGAUUAUUGGGCCUAAAGCGUCCGUAGCCGGCCUAACAAGUCUCUGGUUAAAUCUCAAGGCUUAACCUUGGGAUCGCUGGAGAUACUGUUAGGCUAGGGGGCGGGAGAGGUUGAGGGUACUUCGCGGGUAGGGGCGAAAUCCUAUAAUCCGCGAAGGACCACCAGUGGCGAAGGCGC
RNAcentral lists this ribosomal RNA (637 nucleotides) under uncultured crenarchaeote. RNAcentral's name for it is "bacterial SSU rRNA". It matches the Rfam family "Archaeal small subunit ribosomal RNA", at positions 60 to 675 of the family's 1478-position model. The record is from RNAcentral. Lineage: Archaea; Thermoproteati; Thermoproteota.